CUUACCCGGAACAGACACAGAAUGUGAUAGAUCUUACAGAUGAUUUUUUAUAAGUACAUGAGUGGUCUCCACACAAGUUAGGAAAGUUGCUGGAAAUCUGAGGAGGUUUUCAGGAUACCUGAAAGCCAGAGUCCACUUAGCCAUUGUUUGAAGAAAACAAUUUCAGGCAUUUCAAAGGAAGAGAUCUCUCAGACAACUGGCUGUUCCUGCUUCAAACCAGCUCCCAUCCUCCCCACCCACCACCCCAUCAGAGGGCCAUUAGAAUGCUGUUGGAAAUGGUGGUGGUUUUUCAGCAAAUACCAGGUUCUCCCACUUCAAAGAACAGUCAGCAGAGCGCAACUUUCCACUUAGAGUAGAAGCCUCCAUUCUUCAACCCUGGGAGAAACAACAGCAUUCUCUAUAACCCAAGUUGGGAAACUAGAAGCAAAUUGUCAAUGGACCUAGAACACCCAUCUUCCACUUCUUAGUCCUUCUCUGAACAAGGAGAAGAGUUGUAAUUACAGUUUUCAGACGUGAUAUGAAAACUUAGUCAGCAUGGAGACGCUGCUGUCAAGCUGGGCUGCCAUUUGAGCUCGAGAGGAAGGAAAUCCUUGGAAAGGUA
This 601-nucleotide long non-coding RNA is filed under the name Sus scrofa (pig). Its description in RNAcentral is "lncRNA (multiple genes)". Lineage: Eukaryota; Metazoa; Chordata; Mammalia; Artiodactyla; Suidae. The record is from RNAcentral.